Molecule: long non-coding RNA, 3893 nt
Organism: Lemur catta (Ring-tailed lemur)
Lineage: Eukaryota; Metazoa; Chordata; Mammalia; Primates; Lemuridae
Exons: 3
Source: RefSeq, a predicted model, not a curated record
GGUACAUCUCGCCGUCGGCCACCGAGUGCCUGUCGUCUGUGCCUUCACCCUCCUCCCUGAGGCUGCAGGUGUUGACGAUGACAGGCAUGUUGGGGUCCAGGCUCCGGGGGACGUAGUGCUCCGCCAGCGGCUGUGCCAGGGGCAUGCCUGCCGCCCGCGGGUACAGGACGUCUGUGGGGCUCAUCUGCACCUGGCCGGCCUGCGGGCUGGGGGUGGGAAGAGGCACGGUUACGCGUGCACCCCCACUGCAACCCCAAGCCCAGCUGCCCCCAGGCCUCCUGAGAGCGUGCAGCCCCACCCCACAGCUUCUUGGCUCUGUGACCCAUACAGUUGUCCCCAAAUUCACUGUCACCUACAGCCCUGCAGAUGGCCCUGCAGCCCCAGGGCCACAGUGUGCUCAACAGAUAAUAUUCUUGGAGGAUGGAGUAUGAAUCCAAUUUUUUGCAACUGCAUAUUGGUAAUGCGCUGGGGGGUUCCUGUUUAAAGGAAUCCAGCGGUGUGCCAGCUCUGGUCAAGUCGGGAAUCUGUGUGAUGAGCACUUUGAUUUUUAGUCCCUCUGACUCUACAGAGCUCGUCAGAAAUGGGAGCCGCAGGCUCAUUUUCCCGGGUGCGCGUGGCAGGUCCUCCACGGUUAGUCACGUGCCUAUAACUUCAGCCACCAAGUGCUCAGCAGUCACACACGCAGCCAUACACGGUGGCCCCCGGAGCCACACACUCAGGCCCAGCCACCCACAGCACCCUGGGGUCACAUCCAAAGGUCAGCCACACACUGCCACCCGCCGCUCACAAGAGUUCUACUUGAGGGGGGGCUGCUCACGGGAUGGCGUAGCUCUGGCGGGCGUCCUGGCGCCGGGUCCUCAUCAGGGCCUUGUACUCGCCCACGCGCAGCCGCUUGCCCUCCACGAUGCAGGUGCGCUUGGGCCGCGGCUUGUACUUGUAGUCGGGGUACUUCUCCAGGUGCUGCCGGCUCAGCCGCGCCUGCUCCUCGUAGUAGGGCUGCUUCUCCUGGUUGCUCAUGGACUUCCAGCGCGAGCCUGCACAGCCCCCGGGGACAGGCGGUCGGUGCUGGGCUCUGCUCCCUGCCCGGCCCCCAGGACAGUGUGGUCCCCGCGUGGCCCCACAAGGUAAUAUGGGCAAGCACUUAGUGAGGGCCUGGCCCGAUGUGGGUGCUCCUUGGAUGCUGAGCAAAGGCAUGAACGAAGUUGGCACGUAGAAAGUGUAUCCGAUGCUCAGCUUAAGGCUCAGCAUCCACCCACAUCCCAGACGACCUGGCAACUUCUGGGAGGCCUCUGGUCUGCUGAGUUGCAUAAACAAGAGAACAGCCACCCAGGCCCUCAGCAGCCCGGGUAGGCUCCCUGCUCAGGACAAAAUCCCUGGUGUCUCGGUUGACAAGAGACCUGCAUUGACGCGAGAGGUGCCUCAGUCUUGAAACCAACUGUCCCCUUUUAGCACAUCUGCCCUGCCCCAUAUCCUUUCCCUGGCCUCCGAUCAGGCCAUAUAAUUCUAAAAACCUUCCUACUGCCAACCCAAGAACACCAGUCUCUCCUACGGUCUGCCAGAGCCAGCUCCCAGGUCUGGGCUAACAGUGGAACAGGUUAGGUUUAGAGCAGGAGGGCUGAGGAAUGUUCUCUCUCUCCUGGACUUCUUGAGGGCAGGCGCUACCGGACGAGCCCUGCGACGGUACGAGACCCUCGGACCCAGCUGCCUCCACAUCCCCCGACUCCUGCACCCCCUCAGAGUCCACUGGGGUCCAGCAUGGUGUGGAAUAUCACCAAGCAAGCCCCGGGUAGACCCGGAUGGCUCUCGCCACCAGGUCCCACUGGACCGCGGCCCUUACCGAGGAUCUUGCUGAUGCUGGAGUUGUGCAUGUCCGGGAAGGCUUGGAGGAUCUUCCUCCGCUCGUCCUUGGCCCACACCAUGAAGGCGUUCAUGGGCCUCUUGAUGUGGCUGCUGUUCCGGGACUCCGGGAAGUGGCGGGAGCCUGAGGGGCAGGGGUGGCAUCAGCCAGGCAGCCUGUCGGGGGUGGGGAGAGUCCUCCAGGGCCAGCAGAGAGCCGUCCCCUACGCGCCCACUAGGGGGCACUGACGGGGCUCCCAGAGCAAGUUAGCAGAGGCCCAGCCAGGGACCCAGAGACAGACGGGACAGACACACAGGAAACCGGGGGCCCCAGAGAGUGGGGACCCAGCCGUCAGAGACACAGGGAGACAGACCCACCAGAGCCGUGGGACCAUGGAGCCACGCACACCCGGAGGGACCCGACCGACAGACCAGUGGAGAGACGGGUCAGAGACAGACCCAGCCUGAGCCUCCCCGGGACACAGGGCCUAAGGCCACUCGGGCUGCUGUAACGAAGACCCAUAAACUAGGCAGCUUAUGAACAACAAAUCUCCUCUCCGCUCUGCAGGGGAGUCACCUCCGGGUAAGUCACACCUUGGGUCCUGCCCAUGUCUGAGACUCCGGACUUUAAACUUUUGAGGUGAUGCUGGAACGCAGAGGCUGUUGGGACAGAAUCAAUGUAUUUUGCAUGUGAGAACAUGAUUUUGGAGGCCGGGGCCUGAGCAGAAUGCUAGGGCCUGAAUGCUCGUGCCCCCCAAAAUUCAUAUGUCAAAACCCUAAUCCCCGGUGUGACGGCAGUAGCAGGGGAAACCUUUGGGAAGUGAUUAGGUCAGGGAGGGCGAAGCUCUCAGGAAGGGGACUAGAGGCCUGAGGGGGCUUGUCUGCCCUUCCCACCACGUGAGGACACAGCCAGAGGUGCCACCUGGGAACCAGAGCAGGCCCUCGCCAGACACCGAAUCUGCUGGUGCCCUGAACUUGGACUUCCAGCCUCCACGACCGUCAGAAAUAAAUGUCUGCUGCUUACAAGCCGCCCAGUUUACGGGACUUUGUUGUAGCAGCCUGAACUGCUGUGUUUCCGCUGUGCCCGACCUUGCAGAGAGUUCCUUCCCAGAAACCUCUCUUUCCAGUCACUGGACAGCAGCUUCUCGAUGGCCGGCACCACUGGAAGACAGCGGCAGGGUGAGGAGCAGCCGUCCCAGCAGCCCGCCCAGGCCCUGCCUCCAACGAGGGCAGACUUCUGACCUUCUUUUAAGUUCCGGUUGAAGUCCAGCUUCUCCUGGCUUCCAGAAGCAGCCUCUAGGGCUCCCGGUCUCUUGGGUUCUGGGGACCCAUUGCUCUCUGGAGAGCUACAGUCCUGCAAGACACACUGAAUUUGUCACUGUCACCCCCAGGAGAAGUGGGGGCAGAUUGUAGGGAGGGCUGAGCACCCCAGGGAUGUCACCCUGAAGGAACCCCGCACUCGUGCCAAGCCCCACUGCCCCACCCAGGAGGCCCCCAGUCCCCUAGCUUCCCAACCUUUGCUCACACUGCCUCGUACAGUGAAAGGAACAAAAGAUCUGAAGAUAAAAGACCGGGGUUUCAGUCCAGGCUCAGUGACUCACAAGGAGCUGGAUCCCACACAAGUCCCUGAACUUCUCUGAACCUCACUUCCCUCUUCUGAAAAUGGAAAUACUAAUACCUCCCCUGUAGCAGGAUUGUUUCUGGGAUCAAGGGAGUUAUACAUGUGAAUGAGGUUUGCCUCGGUGGAUUCAGGGGCCAAAGCUAUUAAUUAGCACUGCCUGCAUCCACCUGCUGCUCCAGCAGGGCUGGUUAUUACAGGGCCCCACCUCGGCCCUCCUUAAGAAAUUCCCCCCUCGCUCCUUUUCUCAUCUAAGGCGUCCUCAUCCUUUCAGGCCUAGCUUGAGGCCCUACUCCUCCAGGAAGUCUUCCUUGAUCACCACUGACAUGCACAAACACACUCCUCCAGGCUGGAUUCGUCCUUAGAACCCAGAAACUCUCCUAAUUUUCACUCAUUUGGCUUUUUUGGUUUUUUUUUUCUUUUUUUGUGGCGGGGGCGG